AAAGUAAUUUUGUCAAUCGAUCAAGUAGGCAAAAAAAUCAUUAUUUGUGCUGUCAUCAAGCAUCAAUGUUGGACCAAAAUCAAUGGAUGGACAUGGACAAGCCAACGCUGGCCGCUCGUACCGACGUAGGUGUGCAUCUGAAGAUGUUCGCUGAAUGAGCAAUGACGUGAACGCCUGUCGUAUUCGGUGAUGUCUUGUCUUCAUCGCCAAAAUGUGAAGAUUGUGAAGUAUUCGUUUAGCUUCCAAUGCAAUGGUUAAUAAACGCUUUGCCGAGAUGUGCAUCCGGUGAUUUCUAACAUGA
This is a long non-coding RNA of Armigeres subalbatus, 301 nucleotides long. RefSeq lists it as uncharacterized. NCBI's taxonomy places the organism in Eukaryota, Metazoa, Arthropoda, Insecta, Diptera, Culicidae. The record is from RefSeq and is a predicted model, not a curated record. The transcript has 2 exons.